UUUAAAGAGAGUUUGAUCCUGGCUCAGGACGAACGCUGGCGGCGUGCCUAAUACAUGCAAGUCGAACGAACGGAGGAAGAGCUUGCUCUUCCAAAGUUAGUGGCGGACGGGUGAGUAACACGUGGGCAACCUGCCUGUAAGUUGGGGAUAACUCCGGGAAACCGGGGCUAAUACCGAAUGAUAGAAUGUGGCGCAUGCCACGCUUUUGAAAGAUGGUUUCGGCUAUCGCUUACAGAUGGGCCCGCGGUGCAUUAGCUAGUUGGUAGGGUAAUGGCCUACCAAGGCAACGAUGCAUAGCCGACCUGAGAGGGUGAUCGGCCACACUGGGACUGAGACACGGCCCAGACUCCUACGGGAGGCAGCAGUAGGGAAUCUUCCGCAAUGGACGAAAGUCUGACGGAGCAACGCCGCGUGUAUGAAGAAGGUUUUCGGAUCGUAAAGUACUGUUGUUAGAGAAGAACAAGGAUAAGAGUAACUGCUUGUCCCUUGACGGUAUCUAACCAGAAAGCCACGGCUAACUACGUGCCAGCAGCCGCGGUAAUACGUAGGUGGCAAGCGUUGUCCGGAUUUAUUGGGCGUAAAGCGCGCGCAGGCGGUCUUUUAAGUCUGAUGUGAAAGCCCCCGGCUUAACCGGGGAGGGUCAUUGGAAACUGGAAGACUGGAGUGCAGAAGAGGAGAGUGGAAUUCCACGUGUAGCGGUGAAAUGCGUAGAUAUGUGGAGGAACACCAGUGGCGAAGGCGACUCUCUGGUCUGUAACUGACGCUGAG
Molecule: ribosomal RNA, 768 nt
Filed under: Listeria monocytogenes
Lineage: Bacteria; Bacillati; Bacillota; Bacilli; Caryophanales; Listeriaceae
Description: bacterial SSU rRNA
Rfam family: Bacterial small subunit ribosomal RNA
Source: RNAcentral